This 301-nucleotide ribosomal RNA is filed under the name uncultured bacterium. RNAcentral describes it as "partial 16S ribosomal RNA". It matches the Rfam family "Bacterial small subunit ribosomal RNA", at positions 509 to 807 of the family's 1533-position model. The record is from RNAcentral.
CAGUAGCCGCGGGAAUACGUAGGGUGCAAGCGUUAAUCGGAAUUACUGGGCGUAAAGCGUGCGCAGGCGGUUUUGUAAGUCUGUCAUGAAAUCCCCGUGCUCAACCUGGGAAUGGCGAUGGAGACUGCAAGGCUAGAAUCUGGCAGAGGGGGGUAGAAUUCCACGUGUAGCAGUGAAAUGCGUAGAUAUGUGGAGGAACACCGAUGGCGAAGGCAGCCCCCUGGGCUAAGAUUGACGCUCAUGCACGAAAGCGUGGGGAGCAAACAGGAUUAGAGACCCCCGUAGUCCCUGUCUCUUAUAC